AUUGAACGCUGGCGGCAUGCUUUACACAUGCAAGUCGAACGGUAACAGGUCUUCGGAUGCUGACGAGUGGCGAACGGGUGAGUAAUACAUCGGAACGUGCCUAGUAGUGGGGGAUAACUACUCGAAAGAGUGGCUAAUACCGCAUGAGAUCUACGGAUGAAAGCAGGGGAUCGCAAGACCUUGUGCUACUAGAGCGGCCGAUGGCAGAUUAGGUAGUUGGUGGGAUAAAAGCUUACCAAGCCGACGAUCUGUAGCUGGUCUGAGAGGACGAUCAGCCACACUGGGACUGAGACACGGCCCAGACUCCUACGGGAGGCAGCAGUGGGGAAGUUUGGACAAUGGGCGCAAGCGUGAACCAGCAAUGCCGCGUGCAGGAUGAAGGCCUUCGGGUUGUAAACUGCUUUUGUACGGAACGAAAAGCCCUGGGUUAAUACCCUGGGGUCAUGACGGUACCGUAAGAAUAAGCACCGGCUAACUACGUGCCAGCCGCCGCCGUAA
RNAcentral lists this ribosomal RNA (498 nucleotides) under uncultured bacterium. Its description in RNAcentral is "partial 16S ribosomal RNA". It matches the Rfam family "Bacterial small subunit ribosomal RNA", at positions 30 to 523 of the family's 1533-position model. The record is from RNAcentral.